RNAcentral lists this ribosomal RNA (497 nucleotides) under uncultured bacterium. RNAcentral's name for it is "partial 16S ribosomal RNA". It matches the Rfam family "Bacterial small subunit ribosomal RNA", at positions 28 to 507 of the family's 1533-position model. The record is from RNAcentral.
GAUGAACGCUGGCGGCGUGCCUAAUACAUGCAAGUCGAGCGAACGGACGAGAAACUUGCUUCUCUGAUGUUAGCGGCGGACGGGGGAGUAACACGUGGAUAACCUACCUAUAAGACUGGGAUAACUUCGGGAAACCGGAGCUAAUACCGGAUAAUAUUUUGAACCGCAUGGUUCAAAAGUGAAAGACGGUCUUGCUGUCACUUAUAGAUGGAUCCGCGCUGCAUUAGCUAGUUGGUAAGGUAACGGCUUACCAAGGCAACGAUGCAUAGCCGACCUGAGAGGGUGAUCGGCCACACUGGAACUGAGACACGGUCCAGACUCCUACGGGAGGCAGCAGUAGGGAAUCUUCCGCAAUGGGCGCAAGCCUGACGGAGCAACGCCGCGUGAGUGAUGAAGGUCUUCGGAUCGUAAAACUCUGUUAUUAGGGAAGAACAUAUGUGUAAGUAACUGUGCACAUAUUGACGGUACCUAAUCAGAAAGCCACGGCUAACUACGUG